AUGGAUUAGCUUUUGCCAGGUAGUAAUUUUGUUAUUAGUUUUUGUGCAUAUCAUCAGAUGAGUAAUUGAGUUACUAUGUACCAUAGCUUAUCAUGGUUCAUGUUAUCUGUUAUACGUAUAUGUAGUUUGGUUGUUGUUUUGCACUAAGUAGCAUAGCAUGUGUUGGCUAUUUUUAAUCUAAUUAUGCAUCUGUAUAGAUUCUUACAUAGAAUGAGUUUAACAAGCAUCAUUUGAGAACCAUUAUUAGAUUCAGGUUGAUAUUUUGUUACCAUAUUUUAAUAUUCAUUGCUG
Molecule: unclassified non-coding RNA, 291 nt
Filed under: Hevea brasiliensis (rubber tree)
Lineage: Eukaryota; Viridiplantae; Streptophyta; Magnoliopsida; Malpighiales; Euphorbiaceae
Source: RNAcentral